GUGAAUGGGUGACGGGCACUGAGGGGGGCGCUUGACGGGAUGAGCACUGGGUGUUAUUCUGUAUGUUGGCAAAUUGAACACCAAUAAAAAUAAAUUUAUUAUAAAAAAAAAGUCGUUUGAAAAGUGUAUUAAGGGUAGCCCCUGUGGCGCCGCGGUUUAGCGCCGCCUGUAGCCGGGGGUGUGAUCCUGGAGUCCCGGAUCAAGUCCUCCGGGGGUCGAGUCCUUGGAUCGAAUCCCGCGUCGGGGUCCCUGCCUGGAGCCUGCUUCUCCCUGUGUCUCUGCCUCUUCUCUCUCUGUGUGUCUCUAUGAAUAAAUAAAUAAAAAUUUAAAAUCCAUAAAUAAACAAAAAUAAAAAGUGUAUCAAUUAUCUGAAAUUAUUAAUAGAACACAGGCAAAUGCAUGAAAUUUUGGGGUAUGGUUUAAAAUACACUUUUUCUGAAAUGAAACUAUAAAUAGAGUGAAAAUGAUAAUUUUUUGUUGUUUCAGAAUGGCACCCAAGGUUGUUCACCGCAUAGAAAAUUUCAAUUCCGACCAUAAUGCCACUGCUGAGAUAUAACUUAUUUAGGUGAGUUAAAAAGGAACUAGAUUCUGAGCAGACAGAAGCAAUAGAUAAUUGCUACAUUGAUUCAGACAAUGGCAAAGAGGAAAUAGGAAGUGCAUGAAGAGACCCAACCACAGCAUGGAGCUCCUUUGUGGAAUCUUACCCAAGCAGCUCAAGUGGUACCCAGCAACCCAGAUCCGCGAAUAUCGGCAUAUUCUCUCCCCUGGCUACAAUGACUGGUUCAGGCAUGGGCUUAAAACCCAAGCUGGGCUGAGGGAAAAACAGCCACAGGACUUUCCAGAACUAUUGGCAAAAGAGACAUAGUGACUGCUGAGCUUAUGGAAUGCCAGCCUAGAGCUGUAAGUGGUCAUUUUUCUUUCUUAAAUGAAGACUCUACCUGAGGAUAAAAUCAACACAGAGAAAAGCAGAGCCAAAGACAUAGAAAAAUAAAUCCUUCCUGGCUGUGUUUCA
Molecule: long non-coding RNA, 1012 nt
Filed under: Vulpes vulpes (red fox)
Lineage: Eukaryota; Metazoa; Chordata; Mammalia; Carnivora; Canidae
Description: lncRNA (ENSVVUG00000014936.1)
Source: RNAcentral